This 292-nucleotide ribosomal RNA is filed under the name uncultured bacterium. RNAcentral's name for it is "partial 16S ribosomal RNA". It matches the Rfam family "Bacterial small subunit ribosomal RNA", at positions 505 to 796 of the family's 1533-position model. The record is from RNAcentral.
GUGUCAGCCGCCGCGGUAAGACGGAGGGCGCAAGCGUUGUUCGGAAUUACUGGGCGUAAAGCGCGCGCAGGCGGGAAUGUAAGUCGGAAGUGAAAUACCGGGGCUCAACCCCGGCGCUGCUUCCGAGACUGCAUCCCUGGGGACCGGUAGGGGCGGGUAGAAUUCCCGGUGUAGCGGUGGAAUGCGUAGAUAUCGGGAAGAACACCGGUGGCGAAGGCGGCCCGCUGGGCCGGAUCCGACGCUGAGGCGCGAAAGCGUGGGGAGCAAACAGGAUUAGAAACCCGCGUAGUCC